This 73-nucleotide transfer RNA is filed under the name Patescibacteria group bacterium. RNAcentral's name for it is "tRNA-Val". It matches the Rfam family "tRNA". Rfam says of the family: Transfer RNA (tRNA) molecules are approximately 80 nucleotides in length. The record is from RNAcentral.
GCGCGCUUAGCUCAGUUGGUAGAGCAUCGUCUUGACGUGACGAGGGUCGCAGGUUCGAGUCCUGCAGCGCGCA